This is an RNA transcript of Hylaeus volcanicus, 2175 nucleotides long. It is a transcript of the gene named tropomyosin-1, with no coding region annotated. NCBI's taxonomy places the organism in Eukaryota, Metazoa, Arthropoda, Insecta, Hymenoptera, Colletidae. The transcript is spliced from 8 exons. The record is from RefSeq and is a predicted model, not a curated record.
GCCCCACCCCCGUACAACUUUCCGCGGCGGUCCAUUUUUGGGCUCCCCACCUCCGUGUUCGCUCGCCGCGAGUUCGCAUCUCGCUUCGCGUCUACGAAGAAGCUUUUCGAAGCACCCUCGUACACUCGACUCGCGCCACUCUGCUCGCUCGGGUUAGCGAACUCGAUAGUUUCUCGAAGGAAGCCGGCAAAAGCAAAAGGUCGCCACCAUGGACGCGAUCAAGAAGAAGAUGCAAGCGAUGAAGCUUGAGAAGGACAACGCGAUGGACAAAGCCGACACCUGCGAGGGUCAGGCGAAGGAGGCGAAUAUGCGCGCGGACAAGGUCAACGAGGAGGUCAGCGACCUGCAGAAGAAGCUCACCCAGGUGGAAUCUGACCUUGAUACCAACAAACGGAACCUGGAACAGGCCAACAAGGACCUGGAAGAGAAAGAGAAAGCUCUUACCAACGCUGAAUCCGAGGUCGCUGCUCUGAAUCGCAAAGUCCAGCUGAUUGAAGAGGACUUGGAACGCUCCGAAGAGCGACUCAACACCGCCACUGCCAAGUUGGCCGAAGCGUCCCAGGCCGCUGACGAGUCCAGCCGUAUGUGCAAAGUAUUGGAAAACCGCGCGCAACAGGAUGAAGAGAGGAUGGAUCAGCUGACGAACCAGUUGAAGGAGGCGCGUCUCCUCGCUGAGGACGCCGAUGGAAAAUCUGACGAGGUAUCGCGAAAGCUGGCCUUCGUUGAAGACGAGCUGGAAGUCGCCGAGGAUCGAGUCAAGUCCGGUGAAGCCAAGAUCAUGGAGUUGGAGGAGGAGUUGAAGGUUGUCGGUAACAGCUUGAAGUCUCUCGAGGUUUCUGAGGAAAAGGCUAACCAAAGAGUCGAAGAAUUCAAGCGACAACUCAAAACUUUGACGGUGAAACUAAAGGAAGCGGAGGCUCGUGCCGAGUUCGCCGAGAAGACUGUCAAGAAACUGCAAAAGGAGGUCGACAGGCUCGAAGACGUAUUGCACCAGCAGAAGGAGAAACGCAAAACGAUUUGCGAAGAAUUGGACAAGACAUUUGCUGAGCUUUCUGGCUACUAAAAAAAAAAAAAAAAAAAAACCGAAACAAAAAAAAACAAAAAAUGAAACGAAAUGAAAAGAUCACUCAUACUCGCCCGAAAACUUUCACAUUUGUCCCUUACGCUCAGAAGUUUUCUUGUUUUCGUUGUCUUCUGUGUUCAUCGAAGAAACUUUACCGCUUUUAGCUACGUUUUUUCCCCUUUUUUCGCUGCGACAUAGCUUCCAAAGUUGGGCGUGUUUUUCUUUUUUUUUAUUUUCUUUUUGUCCACUUUAACAAACAUCUUUUUACAACGAAAACGCAUUGUUAUAUGUUUCUAUCGCUUUUUCUCGUACUGUUACUGCUGUUAUAGAAUUUGGCGAACACGCAACGUAACUUUUCACAGUUUUCACCGAUCACCGAAUUCUCCCCCGAUUCUUUUAUCGUUAUGCUCACGCCAUUGUUACAAUCGUUGUUCGUGCCGUCCCAUUUGGGAUCGCUUUGCUUUAUUUUUGCGAGAACGGAGCUCUUAGUAUAUUUUUUCGUUUACAUUGAGCAUUGUCCAUUAAUAUACGCGUACAUCGAACACACGAGUACACACGGCUGCUUAACAGAAUUUAAGAGAAAAGAUAUUAUACGAAAAACAAAAAAAAAAAAAAAGAAAUACAAAAAAAAAAUAAGCUUCGCACGUUUAUGUGGGCCGUCGUACGUCAGGUACAUUUGCCAUCCCCUCGCAAAACUGUUUGCCUUACACUCGUGCAAAGACGAGCUGGGCAUCAACAAGGACAGAUACAAGUCGCUCGCCGACGAGAUGGACUCCACGUUCGCCGAGUUGGCAGGAUACUAAACGAUUUUUCGCCGUUCUAUGCUUCGUAUAACGAUCGCAUUGUCACGCGUGGGGAUGGAACUACGAUCGUUUCGCAGAAGGGACCUCGAGGACUCGACCGGAAGCCGCGCGAGCGGCGAAAGGCGCUAGGGGCUGAGGUCACGUCGGGGACUGGAUGUUAUUUAUCUAAAUUAUGCUACGUUACCGCGACGAAGUUGGUCAAUGUAUCGCGGAGAUCGUAUGAAAUUUUACUCUGUUACACCGUUGUACCAAAUAUUAUUACACGAGACCCAAUAAACUGCUGCAAUGUGGUAUGCGUUACUAAUUAAA